Long non-coding RNA from Esox lucius (northern pike), 1416 nucleotides. NCBI's taxonomy places the organism in Eukaryota, Metazoa, Chordata, Actinopteri, Esociformes, Esocidae. The record is from Ensembl.
CAGCUCCAGUAUUAAUCUCCCGGCAUGUCCAGUUGUCUCCUCACAGUUUCAUUCUGUAAUUGUGACUGUUGGCCUACUUGGAUCUCUUAUACUGCUCAUCACAAUCCUAUUCUGUAUAAAGCGUCUAUGUGGGAAACUAAGAUUUAGAAAUACUACUUCAGGUUGGACAAACUAUGAUGGGGCUGCUGUUGUAGGACUAUAUUCUGAUGAUUUAUUUACAAGACAUAAAGAAGUGAACCAGAGAGUCCCAGCAACAGAGACUUCAACAAUUUGGGGGCUCGUCCGGGAUUGGAAAGAGGAGAAGGAAUUCGAUCUUGUCCAGACAACCUACGCGAGAUUCACAGGUUCCGAGCCGGCUCAUGAUAAAGAUGGACUAACUGUCACGUUACCAGACGGGACAUCGGCGGUGUGCGGACCUGAAACCACACGCAAAGGGCAGUACCUGGUACAACCGGUGAAGGGUGAAAUAGCAGAGAUAUAUUGGGGACUAUUGACACCGGAAAAGCCGGACAAACAGGGUAUUUUGUCCCAGUACUUCAAAUGGAGGCCGUGGAUCUCCCUCCUCGAGCCGUACUUUCCUCCGCCAGACCCCCCACAUGUAACCCUAUUUUAUGAUCGGCAGGGCGAUGAGGUGUAUAGAGAGGGGUUUGGGGAUGUAGUGUGUGGAGACACGUGGCAGGUCGGGUCUAAAUUCAUAUAUGUAGGCCCUGAAGGGGUAGCGGCAGAUGUACAGUUGACAGAGGAGCAGGAUCAGUGGUACAUGAUGGCGGAGGAGUCCGUCCCACAUGUGUCACUGGCACUGCAUCCUAAACACCAAGCAAAAGACCUGGGGCCCAUGGUUAAAAGGGCGGUCGAAUGCACUGAUUGGACACUCACUCAGGCGCCAAACAUAUGGUACUCACCCAGCUGUAAGACGUAUCGGUUAGAAGCACGGAUUGGGUGUGUUUAGAGCGAAGGGAGAUAACUCGGGAUCAUGGGAGGGAAAAGAUGGAUCACCCUGUAGCCACAGCCAGACUUAAUGAGUUACCGGACUCACUAUGGUCCAAGGGUCCCACGGAUGUGGGGCUCACCGAUUGCCCACCGGUCACCUUUAAAAUGGACCGGGAGAGCCCAUAUGGCUGCCCCAAUACCCACACAAACCAGAGGCAGAGGACGGGUUAGAUGUGACAUUGAAUGGUUUGUGGCCCACAGGGGUGUUAGAGGAAUCAGGUUCCGCGUGGAACACACCUAUCCUCCCGGUAGAAAAGAAAGGGACAGGGAAAUACCGUAUGGCCCAUGAUCUCAGAGCUAUAAACAACAUUUUACUCACACCCACUAUACCGGUACCUAACCCGUAUGUAGCACUCACUAAUUUGACCCCGGAUCAAAAAUGGUUCACCUGCAUUGACCUGGCUAACGCUUUUUUCUGUCUCCCAC